AAUCAUUUGUCUUUUAAAUGAAGACUUGUAUGAACGGCAAAACCUCCUCCAACUGUCUCCCCUCCCAUCCUUCCAAAUUUCCUCCUGUGUGAAGAAGCACAGAUACAUCAGAAAGACGAGAAGACCCUGUCGAGCUUUAGCCACUAAGUGGGCCUUACCCUUUCAGGCACCACCCAAAGGUUUUGGUUGGGGCAACCACGGAGAAAAAACAUCCUCCAGAACGAAUAGAAGAAAGCUUUUCACUAUUAUUGCGAUUAAGAACCAGGAACUGGUAUUCGGAAAGAGUUACCGCAGGGAUAACAGCGUCAUCUCCUCUAAGAGUCCUUAUUGACGAGGAGGUUUGCGACCUCGAUGUUGGAUUGGGGCCCCCUUAGGGUGCAGAAGCUCUAAACGGUUAGACUGUUCGUCUAUUAAAGCCCUACAUGAUCUGAGUUCAAACCGGAG
This 444-nucleotide ribosomal RNA is filed under the name Holothuria mammata. RNAcentral describes it as "partial 16S ribosomal RNA". It matches the Rfam family "Bacterial large subunit ribosomal RNA", at positions 1963 to 2621 of the family's 2925-position model. Lineage: Eukaryota; Metazoa; Echinodermata; Holothuroidea; Aspidochirotida; Holothuriidae. The record is from RNAcentral.